UACAGAGGGGGCAAGCGUUAAUCGGAAUUACUGGGCGUAAAGCGUGCGCAGGCGGUGAUGUAAGACAGAUGUGAAAUCCCCGGGCUCAACCUGGGAACUGCAUUUGUGACUGCAUCGCUGGAGUGCGGCAGAGGGGGAUGGAAUUCCGCGUGUAGCAGUGAAAUGCGUAGAUAUGCGGAGGAACACCGAUGGCGAAGGCAAUCCCCUGGGCCUGCACUGACGCUCAUGCACGAAAGCGUGGGGAGCAAACAGG
Molecule: ribosomal RNA, 253 nt
Filed under: uncultured bacterium
Lineage: Bacteria
Description: partial 16S ribosomal RNA
Rfam family: Bacterial small subunit ribosomal RNA
Source: RNAcentral